GUGCAGUUUUAGUUUAAGUGUUGUCUAUUUUUGAGUAUCAAUUCAAAGAAAAUCUUUUAAAAUAUAAUCCGUCAUAAAUUUAAUCAAUUAAAAUCCUGGAGCUCGGAAUGGUAUCAUUGAAAAUUAGUUAACCAAUAAAGUGGUUAGAAAGAAAGUGUUAACAUGGCAAAAAAUGAACUCUCAAGGAACAAUGAAAUUAUGAGGCAAUUAAUUAGCAGAACUUGAGGCUUUUUACCAGCUAUUAUUAUUGUAACAAUUAAUGAAAGGUUAAAACAAAAAGCAAAUGUUACAGCUAAAUUGAUUCACCGAUUUAACAGGUUGAUUUACCAAAUUUAGUUAUAACCAUGCACAUCAGAUGGCGUUACUUUUUCAAUGGUGGUUUCGCUUUUAAUUCAAUUUAAAUUAACAGAAAAAUCUUUGAUUUGUUUCGUGUUUAAAAACAAUUGACACAAGAUUGAUUGAAUAGUGAGCUUGAACAAUGAGGAAAACAAAAUAAGGAAUUUGAUUCAGUGCAUUUCUACCUGAUAAAAGUGGACGAUCCAUUGAUAAUGUUAAAUUUAAUCGAUCUCUUUGAUUGCUAAAACCAAAGAGUAAUUAUUACUCUUUGGCUAAAACACACUGUAUUAAUCUAAAUUUCAUUGUAUCUUGUCCAACAUAAACUUUAAUAUUUAGCUCUAAAUGUUCAAAUUCAAAUUCUCACAAUACUUCUUACCGUUAGAAAAUCAGUUUUUAUCACGUUCUUGAAAGAUUUGACUCUACAGCUGUUAAGCUGUAAACUAACCUAUUAUUAAUAGUUCAAAUGCAAGUAAAAAUGUUUCUUUUAUUCACUAUAGAAGCCUUUUUUUACAAAAUUAUUUCAACAUUAAGCUUUAAAUCAAAUGAAAAGAUGAUAUUUUUCAUUGCUGAUCUCAGAUUUUUUUUCACUUUAACAAGAUUCGCUUUAAACUGGCACGACAGUAAAGUGGUGAAAAAUACCCAAAAGAGUUUUACUCUCAACAAUACUAUCUUGAAGCGAUCAUCAUCACUCUCAUCUCAUGAUUAACUUGAACAACAACAACAACAUAUCAUAUCAAACUGGUGACCCUUUACAUGCCUCUUUUGCCCAAUUAAUCUUGUACAAGAACGGAAUUCCAGAAACAAGCUGAAAGAAUCUGGUCAUACCUGUGUGAGUCUCAGCAUGAACAUGUGAAAGAUAAGAAUGGCUGGAAAGAAGCAACAGAAGAAGGAGCAGAAGAUGAAGCAGAAGAUGAAGCAGAAGAUGAAGCAGAAGAUGAAGCAAAAAAAGCCAAAAGGAUGAUUCAGAAGAUACCCUCAAGGCCGUUGUAAAGUUUAAAUGAUGCUUUAAAAUCAAUGAUUAAACCACUGAAAAAAGGUCAGGCCAAGACGUAAUUGUCCAUUUAGGCUGUACAAUCAAUCUUGAUGCCCUUCCAAUAUGGCUAAACUCAUGAUUUAUACCAGACUUGUGCUUAAGGCCAAACCGAUUUACAUGUACAAAUGUUCACCCAAUGGAGUUGACCUGACUCAUGAUCUCUCUGGAAAUGGUCACUAUAAUGGUUGCGUCUAAUGGACAUUACAGCCAAGAUGAAGACUAGACAGACCAAGAUGACAAAGCCAAGGACCCAGUAAAGACAUUUUCACCAAGCGAUCCACACUUUUCUCAGGCCUUUGCCUUUUCUUUUCCCAUUAACAUUUGCUAUUACCAAGUGUUACACAAUUGCUGCUUGUUGCUGUUGAUCAGCUAGCACAAUUUAUUAAUUAUUUCAUCCCAAGUGGCUUGGUUGAUAAUAAUGGAGAGCAAAUUGAAAAACGAUUAAGCCUCAAUACAAUUAUAAUAAUGAUGUUUUUUGCUUGAGUUGCAAUGUAAUGAUGAAAAAUGGAGGGAAGCAAGAAAACAUGAAAAUCAUUUAACCUUUUCAUUAUAAUUAUUGAAAAGAUUACAUGUAAAUUAUCAUUAGCAUGGAGACACAAAAUUAUAUUUUUAUCAAUACAAAUGUUCAUCAUCUUUCCUUUAUUAAUAGCAUUUGAAAAUGGCUAUAAAAUUAUCUUUUCUUUAUUUUCAUUCAUCAAUCGUUGGAUAUUGUUAAUGUUCAAAGGGCUUAUUAAUUGUAUAUUUAUUCAGUGUAAAUUGAAGUUUACCUCAAUUGAGUGACUGUGAUUGGCGAAUUAUGUUAACCUUUUCAAUUUACUGGUUCAAACGUAAAGGUUAGCUUAAUUGUCAGUAAGGCAUAGAGAAAAAAAUGAAAUAAUCAUUUGAUUCAAUCGACUGUAAUGUUAACCAUGUUUUUGUUUGUACCUUUGAUUGUCUCUUAAAUCAUUUAUUGUUCCAAUUGAUUUGCUCAGCAAAUGAUAGACUAUGAACUUUAUCCAAUUUUUCAUUUAUCACCACUCAUUGUGAAUCUGUCUGUCCAUUAAUCGAUGUAAUCUAUUAAGAUUUUCAAAUCUUUCAACCGCCAUUUGUAGUCUGGUGCUGAAAUUGCCAGUCAAACAACGCUUUUCAUAUUGAAUAAUUUCUCAAUUCCAGUGAUAAAUUGUCAAUUAUGUGUAUAUCAAGAUGAUAAUUAGAAGCAUUAGCUAGUAAACAAUUUGGGAAUAUUGACCUUAAAGCCUAAGGGCGUUAAGAGCAGCGUGAAAGUGAAAUUGUUAUUGACAAAAAAUGGCUAAAUAUCACCAAGGAAAAGGUUGACUAUUAAUAAAAAUGGGAUUCGGUUUAAUAGUUGCGGGUAAAUUGUUUGUCCGUGCUUUAAACAUUUCUUAUCAAUUGUAAAUUAAAAUCAUAAUUGUUAAGGUAGAGUCAAGUGUUUGAAUCAGCAAAAAUGGUAACGUUUUUUUUUGCUUGCGCUUAACAUGCAGCUUGGGAAAUCAGCUUUGUUGACUUGACUCAUUGUGUUUCCUUUGUAUAACUUGGUCAAAUCGUCUUUGGCUUGUCUCUUCAUCAAUCAAUUAUAAUUCAACGGAAA
Long non-coding RNA from Tetranychus urticae (two-spotted spider mite), 2957 nucleotides. RefSeq lists it as uncharacterized. Lineage: Eukaryota; Metazoa; Arthropoda; Arachnida; Trombidiformes; Tetranychidae. The record is from RefSeq and is a predicted model, not a curated record.